CCCCUAGAUGUUCUGGGCCGCACGCGCGCUACACUGAACAGUUCAACAAGUCUUAACCUUGGCCGAUAGGUCUGGGUAAUCUUUGAACGCUGUUCGUGAUUGGGAUAGACCUUUGCAAUUAUGGGUCUUCAACGAGGAAUUCCUAGUAAACGCAAGUCAUCAGCUUGCAUUGAUUACGUCCCUGCCCUUUGUACACACCGCCCGUCGCACCUACCGAUUGAAUGGUCCGGUGAAAUUCUCGGACGCGGACUUGCGAUGUUAAUUCGGAGCUUGACUGUGAAAGUUAAUUAAACCUUACCAUUUAGAGGAAGGUGAANUCGUANCA
RNAcentral lists this ribosomal RNA (325 nucleotides) under uncultured eukaryote. Its description in RNAcentral is "partial 18S ribosomal RNA". It matches the Rfam family "Eukaryotic small subunit ribosomal RNA", at positions 1470 to 1796 of the family's 1831-position model. The record is from RNAcentral.